This 1715-nucleotide long non-coding RNA is filed under the name Homo sapiens (human). RNAcentral describes it as "HSALNT0038892". The record is from RNAcentral. Lineage: Eukaryota; Metazoa; Chordata; Mammalia; Primates; Hominidae.
GAAUUCAUUUCCUCUCAGCCAAUGGAUUCUAAGAGGCCGAAAAGGAGAAGUGAAAAUUUUGUUUUAGCACUACAUAAGGCUUCUCGUACUUGCAGCCAAAGAGGUCAGAGAUUUGGUCCCAAGACCAACUUAGAGUCAUGUGUGACACUGGGAUUCAGAGGCUAGUUGUGGGCCACAGGGAGGAAGCUGACCCCUGGGCUCACCCAGCCCACCCACUCACCAGCUCUCCUUUCCUUCCUGGGUCCCUUGGGGAGGAGAAGCCAUCCACCUCAUGGAAAGUGCUUUAGAGGCUCCUCUGUGGGUGCCCUACUCUGCACCCUUUGCGGGGACUCUCUGCUUCAGUUCGCAGGACAACCUUAAUAGCUAACUGCAGAGAGGACUGAAUGGUUAAGUAGCUCCUCCAAGGAAGCAGAGCCAAGUAUCAGAGGCCGGUUUCCAUCCAGGGAUUGAGAGAAGAAUCAGGAGCACAUAGGCUGUGGCAGUAAAAAGCAGAUCCCAAAGACAGUAUAGGGCGGCUCGAAAGGGGCCUUCCUACAUAGCCACCACCACGUGCUCCGGCGCUACCUCCAGGGGGCUGGGCGCAGCUGGAGGACACAGUUCGGCAGCUUGCUAGAAGCCUCCAGCUCUUCCUUUUCUGUAUCCUUCAGGUGACUGUGGAAGGCUGGCCGUGCAGCCUGCCAUCAGCCUGGCCUCAGCCGGGGAGGGGGACCUUUCUCCUGGAGGCCACAGAAACACUGAGGACCUCUCAGCUGAGAAGGUCAGAUGGAGGUGCUGGAUGAUUGGAGGAGAUCAAACUGAUGAGGAAAACGCAAAUGGCAUCCUUCAGGAGCAAAAGCUGUCUCCUCUUUUACUUCACAUGUCCACCCAGCAGCUCUAUGAGUUCUGAUUCAGCAUUGCACUUACCACCCACCCUCCCCGCCUUUUACAGAAAAGGAAACUGAGGCUCCGAGGUUGCGGAGUUGCUUGCUCCAGCUGAUGACAAAGGCAGGUAAAGCCAGGGCUAGAGUCCCUUCCCAGCCCUCCAAAUGCCGUUAGCGCCAUGAUCCUACAGCCUCCUCAAAGUCCAGUCAGGCAAACUCUUGCCCUUGUUUCCAUUAAACACAUAUCUUCAUCUUUUUCGUACUUUUAAUAAUAGCAGGAAGUAAAUCUGGCCAUGUAAUGUGAGAAAGGUAAUAGUCCCAGGUCAGGAAAUCCUGUUGCUUGGAGUCUCUUGGGAAUGUUAACUUUCCCACUCUCACCCUACCGGGAUCCUGACCUCCUGCACAGUUGGCUUCCUCAGGCAAAACUGGGCCAGAAAUUCUGGGCCGUUGGCCAGAGUCAGACCUUCGUCCUCUGGUAGCGUCCGCUGGAAAAGAGGAGGCGAGAGUCACCAGGAGGCUGGCCCCACUCGCAGGCCCUGCCCUCUGCCGGUGGGUCCUAUGGAUGACACGAGGCCGCACUGGGCUGGAGAAGAAGAGAAGCUCCUGAGACACGCCCACUCUGCAGAGGGAGGCAACCGCACAGGCUUGGAGUUCACUUGCUCCAGAACAACUUUGCGACUUUUUGGGAGAAUGCCAGCAGUAAUCUCCAUGUGGCCCCGUGGAAAGAACCUGGGCUCUGCCAGGCUUUGGUGCCCUCUCUGCAGCUCUCAGGCUGAGUUUUGGUGAAAUGAUGCUUGUGGAACGCCUAGCAAAGCACCCCCGCUCACAGUGGCCCCACGAAGCAGUAGGUCCCCU